GUCUACGGUCAUUGCCACCUAGAACGUGCCCGAUCUCAUCUGAUCUCGGAAGCUAAGCAGGGUCGGGCCUGGUUAGUACUUGGAUGGGAGACCACCUAGGGGAAGACCAGGUGCUAUAGGUG
This is a non-coding RNA of Pteropus alecto (black flying fox), 122 nucleotides long. The record is from Rfam. NCBI's taxonomy places the organism in Eukaryota, Metazoa, Chordata, Mammalia, Chiroptera, Pteropodidae.